This 496-nucleotide ribosomal RNA is filed under the name uncultured bacterium. RNAcentral's name for it is "partial 16S ribosomal RNA". It matches the Rfam family "Bacterial small subunit ribosomal RNA", at positions 28 to 507 of the family's 1533-position model. The record is from RNAcentral.
GACGAACGCUGGCGGCGUGCCUAAUACAUGCAAGUUGAGCGCUGAAGGUUGGUACUUGUACCAACUGGAUGAGCAGCGAACGGGUGAGUAACGCGUGGGGAAUCUGCCUUUGAGCGGGGGACAACAUUUGGAAACGAAUGCUAAUACCGCAUAAAAACUUUAAACACAAGUUUUAAGUUUGAAAGAUGCAAUUGCAUCACUCAAAGAUGAUCCCGCGUUGUAUUAGCUAGUUGGUGAGGUAAAGGCUCACCAAGGCGAUGAUACAUAGCCGACCUGAGAGGGUGAUCGGCCACAUUGGGACUGAGACACGGCCCAAACUCCUACGGGAGGCAGCAGUAGGGAAUCUUCGGCAAUGGACGAAAGUCUGACCGAGCAACGCCGCGUGAGUGAAGAAGGUCUUCGGAUCGUAAAACUCUGUUAUUAGGGAAGAACAAAUGUGUAAGUAACUAUGCACGUCUUGACGGUACCUAAUCAGAAAGCCACGGCUAACUACGUG